UGAAGGCUGAAAUUCGCCUUCAUGAAGCCGGAAUUGCUAGUAAUGGCAGGUCAGCAUACUGCCGUGAAUACGUUCCCGGGCCUUGUACACACCGCCCGUCACACCAUGAGAGUUGGGGAUACCCGAAGUCAGUGGCCUAACCGCAAGGAGGGAGCUGCCUAAGGUGGGGUAGAUGAUUGGGGUGAAGUCGUAACAAGGUAUC
This 202-nucleotide ribosomal RNA is filed under the name uncultured bacterium. RNAcentral describes it as "partial 16S ribosomal RNA". It matches the Rfam family "Bacterial small subunit ribosomal RNA", at positions 1299 to 1500 of the family's 1533-position model. The record is from RNAcentral.